RNAcentral lists this ribosomal RNA (407 nucleotides) under bacterium. RNAcentral's name for it is "bacterial SSU rRNA". It matches the Rfam family "Bacterial small subunit ribosomal RNA", at positions 354 to 776 of the family's 1533-position model. The record is from RNAcentral. RNAcentral also lists the same sequence under 1 other name.
GUGGGGAAUAUUGCACAAUGGGGGAAACCCUGAUGCAGCGACGCCGCGUGAGCGAAGAAGUAUUUCGGUAUGUAAAGCUCUAUCAGCAGGGAAGAAGAAAUGACGGUACCUGACUAAGAAGCACCGGCUAAAUACGUGCCAGCAGCCGCGGUAAUACGUAUGGUGCAAGCGUUAUCCGGAUUUACUGGGUGUAAAGGGAGCGCAGGCGGAAGGCUAAGUCUGAUGUGAAAGCCCGGGGCUCAACCCCGGUACUGCAUUGGAAACUGGUCAUCUAGAGUGUCGGAGGGGUAAGUGGAAUUCCUAGUGUAGCGGUGAAAUGCGUAGAUAUUAGGAGGAACACCAGUGGCGAAGGCGGCUUACUGGACGAUAACUGACGCUGAGGCUCGAAAGCGUGGGGAGCAAACAGG